GACGAACGCUGGCCGCGUGCUUAACACAUGCAAGUCGAACGGUAAGGCCCUUCGGGGUACACGAGUGGCGAACGGGUGAGUAACACGUGGGUGAUCUGCCCUGCACUUCGGGAUAAGCCUGGGAAACUGGGUCUAAUACCGGAUAGGACCCUGGGAUACAUGUCCUGGGGUAGAAAGCUGUUGCGGUGUGGGAUGGGCCCGGGGCCUAUCAGCUUGUGGGUUGGGUGAUGGCCUACCAAGGCGACGACGGGUAGCCGGCCUGAGAGGGUGACCGGCCACACUGGGACUGAGAUACGGCCCAGACGCCUACGGGAGGCAGCAGUGGGGAAUAUUGCACAAUGGGCGCAAGCCUGAUGCAGCGACGCCGCGUGAGGGAUGACGGCCUUCGGGUUGUAAACCUCUUUCAGCACCGACGAAGCGCAAGUGACGGUAGGUGCAGAAGAAGGACCGGCCAACUACGUGCCAGCCGCCGCGGUAA
RNAcentral lists this ribosomal RNA (478 nucleotides) under uncultured bacterium. RNAcentral's name for it is "partial 16S ribosomal RNA". It matches the Rfam family "Bacterial small subunit ribosomal RNA", at positions 28 to 523 of the family's 1533-position model. The record is from RNAcentral.